GUUUUAAGUACGUAUUAAUAAUGAUAAUAUGUAUAAAAGUCUUGACCAAUUACGUGCCAGCAGUCGCGGUAAUACGUAGGAGACGAGCAUUAUUCAUAUUAAAUAGGUUUAAAGGGUACCCAAACGGUCAAAAUAUCUUAAAUAAAAAGAAGUACUUGACUAGAGUUAUAUGUGAGGAGACCGUACUUGAGGUGGAGAGAUUAUAUUCUGUGAUACCAAGAGGACUGGUAAAGGCGCAGGCUGUCUUUUAUGUAAUAACUGACGUUGGAGGACGAAGGCAUCGGGCACGAACAGGAUUUGACACCCCAGUAGUCUUUGCAGACAAUGAUGAAUGCCAUGAACUAGAUUAUAAGUUUAGUUUUAUAAAUGAAAAUGAAAGCAUUUCACCUCAAGAGUAAUGCCGCAAGGC
RNAcentral lists this ribosomal RNA (409 nucleotides) under Colletotrichum sp. LD11(L3). Its description in RNAcentral is "SSU rRNA". It matches the Rfam family "Bacterial small subunit ribosomal RNA", at positions 450 to 894 of the family's 1533-position model. The record is from RNAcentral. Lineage: Eukaryota; Fungi; Ascomycota; Sordariomycetes; Glomerellales; Glomerellaceae. RNAcentral also lists the same sequence under 1 other name.